AAGCUCGUAGUUGAAUUUCGAGACCGGCUUACUGGUCGUGCUUUUGUACGUACUGGUGUAAUCGGUUUCUCCUUUCUGACGAACUAUAAUGCCAUUAAUUUGGUGUUAUAGGGAAUCAGGACUGCUACUUUGAAAAAAUUAGAGUGUUUAAAGCAGGCUCACGCUUGAAUACAUUAGCAUGGAAUAACGGAAUAGGACGUUUGAUUCUAUUUUGUUGGUUUCUAGGAUCGGCGUAAUGAUUAAUAGGGAUAGUUGGG
Molecule: ribosomal RNA, 257 nt
Filed under: uncultured Glomus
Lineage: Eukaryota; Fungi; Glomeromycota; Glomeromycetes; Glomerales; Glomeraceae
Description: partial 18S ribosomal RNA
Rfam family: Eukaryotic small subunit ribosomal RNA
Source: RNAcentral